GGUUAUACUGUCUCCUUUCUCUAAUCAGUGAAACUAAUCUCCCCGUGAAGAAGCGGGGAUAAAACUAUAAGACGAGAAGACCCCAUGGAGCUUUAAACCUAGCCACACCCAGAAUCUUUAUACCUAACUAUUAUCUGAACCCUGUAAGCUAGGCUUUAGGUUGGGGUGACCGCGGAGUAAAACAAAACCUCCGCAAUGAACGAAACUACCGUCUUAUCUAAGAAUAAUCCCUCUAAGAAUUAGCACUCUAACAUAAAUGAUCCAAUUAUUGAUCAACGGACCAAGUUACCCUGGGGAUAACAGCGCAAUCCACUUCAAGAGCUCCUAUCGACAGGUGGGUUUACGACCUCGAUGUUGGA
This 359-nucleotide ribosomal RNA is filed under the name Gephyromantis luteus. RNAcentral's name for it is "partial 16S ribosomal RNA". It matches the Rfam family "Bacterial large subunit ribosomal RNA", at positions 2009 to 2536 of the family's 2925-position model. The record is from RNAcentral. Lineage: Eukaryota; Metazoa; Chordata; Amphibia; Anura; Mantellidae.